CCUACGGGUGGCUGCAGUCGAGAAUCUUUGGCAAUGGGCGCAAGCCUGACCAAGCGACGCCGCGUGCGGGAUGAAGGCCUUCGGGUUGUAAACCGCUGUCGAGAGGGAGAAAGGUCCGGUCCGCCGGGCUUGAUCGACCUCUGGAGGAAGCACGGGCUAAGUUCGUGCCAGCAGCCGCGGUAAGACGAACCGUGCGAACGUUGUUCGGAAUCAUUGGGCUUAAAGGGCGCGUAGGCGGCUCGCCUUGUCUGCGGUGAAAUCCCCCGGCUCAACCGGGGGACGGCCGCGGAGACGGGCGGGAUCGAGUGCGGGAGGGGCAGGUGGAAUUUCCGGUGGAGCGGUGAAAUGCGUUGAGACCGGAAGGAACGCCGGCGGCGAAAGCGACCUGCUGGACCGCAACUGACGCUGAGGCGCGAAAGCCAGGGGAGCGAACGGGAUUA
RNAcentral lists this ribosomal RNA (440 nucleotides) under uncultured bacterium. RNAcentral's name for it is "bacterial SSU rRNA". It matches the Rfam family "Bacterial small subunit ribosomal RNA", at positions 338 to 780 of the family's 1533-position model. The record is from RNAcentral.